GACGAACGCUGGCGGCGUGCCUAAUACAUGCCAGUCGAGCGCUCUAGCCUAGAUGAUUUUGGUCCUUGCACCAGUUGAAACUAGAUACAAGCGAGCGGCGGACGGGUGAGUAACACGUGGGUAACUUGUCCAAGCGACUGGUAUAACACCUGGACACAGAUGCUAAUACCGGAUAACAACACUAGACGCAUGUCCAGCGCUUAAAAGAUGGUUCUGCUUUCAUUCUUGGAUGGAUCUGCGUUGCAUUCGCUAGUUGGUAAGGCAAUGGCUUACCAAGGCAAGGAUGCAUAGCCGAGUUGAGAGAUGGAUCGCCCACAUUGGGACUGGGACACGGCCCGAACUCCUACGGGAGGCGGCGGUGGGGAAUCUUCGACAAGGGACGCAAGUCUGAUGGAGCAACGCCGCGGGGUGGAAGAAGUGUUUCGGCUCGUAAAGCUCGGUUGGUAGUGAAGAAAGAUAGAGGUAGGAACUGGCCAUUAUGUGACGGUAAUUACUUAGAAAGGCACGGCUAACUACGUG
RNAcentral lists this ribosomal RNA (519 nucleotides) under uncultured bacterium. Its description in RNAcentral is "partial 16S ribosomal RNA". It matches the Rfam family "Bacterial small subunit ribosomal RNA", at positions 28 to 507 of the family's 1533-position model. The record is from RNAcentral.